RNAcentral lists this ribosomal RNA (172 nucleotides) under uncultured bacterium. RNAcentral describes it as "partial 16S ribosomal RNA". It matches the Rfam family "Bacterial small subunit ribosomal RNA", at positions 335 to 524 of the family's 1533-position model. The record is from RNAcentral.
ACUCCUACGGGAGGCAGCAGUGGGGAAUAUUGCACAAUGGGGGAAACCCUGAUGCAGCAACGCCGCGUGAGUGAAGAAGUAUUUCGGUAUGUAAAGCUCUAUCAGCAGGGAAGAUAAUGACGGUACCUGACUAAGAAGCUCCGGCUAAAUACGUGCCAGCAGCCGCGGUAAU